RNAcentral lists this ribosomal RNA (538 nucleotides) under uncultured bacterium. RNAcentral describes it as "bacterial SSU rRNA". It matches the Rfam family "Bacterial small subunit ribosomal RNA", at positions 944 to 1482 of the family's 1533-position model. The record is from RNAcentral.
GUUAAUUCGACGCAACGCGAAGAACCUUACCAGGUCUUGACAUCCAGUAAAAGCAUCAGAGAUGAUGUGUGAGCUUGCUCAUACUGAGACAGGUGGUGCAUGGUUGUCGUCAGCUCGUGUCGUGAGAUGUUGGGUUAAGUCCCGCAACGAGCGCAACCCUUGUUUAUAGUUACUAACACGCAGAGGUGAGGACUCUAUAGAGACUGCCGGGGACAACUCGGAGGAAGGUGGGGACGACGUCAAAUCAUCAUGCCCCUUAUGACCUGGGCUACACACGUGCUACAAUGGCCGUGACAAAGAGGAGCGAGCCUGUGAGGGUAAGCAGAUCUCAAAAAAGCGGUCUCAGUUCGGAUUGUGGGCUGCAACCCGCCCACGUGAAGUCGGAGUUGCUAGUAAUCGCGGAUCAGCAUGCCGCGGUGAAUACGUUCCCGGGCCUUGUACACACCGCCCGUCACACCAUGGGAGUUGGUAGCACCCGAAACUGGUGAGGUAACCGCAAGGGGCCAGCCAGCUAAAGGUGAGACCAAUGACUGGGGUG